AGUUCAACAAGAGAUGAUCAAAGAGUGAGAGACAUUUUCAGUCUCAUAAUUGUUUCCCCAAACAAUAUAAUUUCUAGUAUGCACAAGACACUCAUGUAAACGUAGUAACACAAACCCCAAAAUAUAUAAUCGGAGUAACUCUUGCUCCAAAUGGAAAGCUGCUGCUGACCUACAUUCUUGAACCAGAACGGUUUGAAGUUUUUUUUUAUAACUAUCUUAAUACAAGUGAUACCCUAGUAUAACAAAAGGUAAUAGUCACACAUUACGUUGACCUAAUGAAAGCAUUUAGGAGAUCAAAUACUUGGCUAAGAAUACAGCAAACUGGGAUAUUAGCGAACGUUUUCAAUACAGCAAGGGUCUAAACCACGAUGUUUUAAAUUAAUAUAUUUAUACGGUCUGUUAAAGGUAAGCACGUUUUCAAAUAUCAAAAUGGAUAAAUAGGAGAUUCAAUCAUAAUGGUAGAGAAAAGCGCAGCAUAUCAAGAAAGAUGUUGUCACGAGUAGCAACUCGGCUACAAGAUUGGAACUAAGAGGCUAUAAAAUUGAGGCCCUCAGCACAAUGAAAUCAGUCUGCUAUAAAAGGCAACACAUGCCAGUUUUUCCUCCCCAAUGGCAGAUGCCACACCCUAAAGCAGACAGAAGGCACUGCAGUCUGUGCAAGGGAAGCACAACACAAAGCAACAACGAUGGUUCAAUUUUUUAGAGCGCAAAUAAUGUUGAAAUUCCUUUUGCCAUCUUUGCUCAGAUGAUGAGUGGUAGUGUUUGUUAAAUUCAAAUGCUCCUUUCCAAAAGCUCUCAUUGUAUGCAUGAAUUAUGAAUUUAUUAUAAUAUAAUGUAAAAAAGCUCUAAUUGCCAUGCAUAUUAUCUGCUGCAAAGUGAUUGCAUUGAUAUUUGAUAUCGCAAGUGCGCAGUUUCAACUUUAGUUCUAUUUUCAUUGUUCCUUCAAUUUAAUUAUUUUCUAUAAACCAAUGUUGUCCAAGUGUAGUUUCUUUCUUUUGAUUUUUCCUGAUAAAUUAUAAACUGUGGUGCUCUAGGAUCCCUCAUCAAAAUAAACAACAUAAUUUUCUAAA
Molecule: long non-coding RNA, 1069 nt
Organism: Vidua macroura (Pin-tailed whydah)
Lineage: Eukaryota; Metazoa; Chordata; Aves; Passeriformes; Viduidae
Exons: 2
Source: RefSeq, a predicted model, not a curated record